CUGGCCGUAAACGAUGGAUACUAGGUGUUAGAGGUAUCGACCCCUCUAGUGCCGAAGCUAACGCAUUAAGUAUCCCGCCUGGGGAGUACGACCGCAAGGUUGAAACUCAAAGGAAUUGACGGGGGCCCGCACAAGCGGUGGAGCAUGUGGUUUAAUACGUCACUAACCGUAGAACCUUACCCAGGUUUGACAUCUGGGGGAUCCUGCUGAAAGGUGGGAGUGCUUUGUAAGAAGAACCCCAAGACAGGUGU
This 251-nucleotide ribosomal RNA is filed under the name uncultured Armatimonadota bacterium. RNAcentral describes it as "uncultured Armatimonadetes bacterium partial 16S ribosomal RNA". It matches the Rfam family "Bacterial small subunit ribosomal RNA", at positions 796 to 1041 of the family's 1533-position model. Lineage: Bacteria; Bacillati; Armatimonadota. The record is from RNAcentral.